UCGAGGAUCUUCGGCAAUGGACGAAAGUCUGACCGAGCAACGCCGCGUGUGCGAUGAAGGCCUUCGGGUUGUAAAGCACUGUCGAGGGGAAACAAGCCGUAAGGUUGAGUGACCCCUGGAGGAAGCACGGGCUAAGUUCGUGCCAGCAGCCGCGGUAAGACGAACCGUGCAAACGUUAUUCGGAAUCACUGGGCUUAAAGGGCGCGUAGGCGGGUAAUCAAGUCAAUGGUGAAAUCCUCCAGCUUAACUGGAGAAGUGCCUUUGAUACUGGUUGUCUAGAGGGAGGUAGGGGCAUGUGGAACUUCAGGUGGAGCGGUGAAAUGCGUAGAUAUCUGAAGGAACGCCAGUGGCGAAAGCGAUGUGCUGGACCUCUUCUGACGCUGAGGCGCGAAAGCUAGGGGAUCAAACGGG
RNAcentral lists this ribosomal RNA (411 nucleotides) under uncultured bacterium. Its description in RNAcentral is "bacterial SSU rRNA". It matches the Rfam family "Bacterial small subunit ribosomal RNA", at positions 355 to 776 of the family's 1533-position model. The record is from RNAcentral.